AUUGAACGCUGGCGGAAUGCUUUACACAUGCAAGUCGAACGGCAGCACGGGGCAACCUGGUGGCGAGUGGCGAACGGGUGAGUAAUACAUCGGAACGUGCCCAAUCGUGGGGGAUAACGUAGCGAAAGUUACGCUAAUACCGCAUACGAUCUACGGAUGAAAGCGGGGGAUCGCAAGACCUCGCGCGAAUGGAGCGGCCGAUGUCAGAUUAGGUAGUUGGUGGGGUAAAGGCUCACCAAGCCAACGAUCUGUAGCUGGUCUGAGAGGACGACCAGCCACACUGGAACUGAGACACGGUCCAGACUCCUACGGGAGGCAGCAGUGGGGAAUUUUGGACAAUGGGCGCAAGCCUGAUCCAGCCAUUCCGCGUGCAGGAUGAAGGCCUUCGGGUUUGUAAACUGCUUUUGUACGGAACGAAACGGUCUGCCCUAAUACGGCGGGCUAAUGACGGUACCGUAAGAAUAAGCACCGGCUAACUACGUG
This 483-nucleotide ribosomal RNA is filed under the name uncultured bacterium. RNAcentral describes it as "bacterial SSU rRNA". It matches the Rfam family "Bacterial small subunit ribosomal RNA", at positions 30 to 507 of the family's 1533-position model. The record is from RNAcentral.